Molecule: unclassified non-coding RNA, 19 nt
Filed under: Mus musculus (house mouse)
Lineage: Eukaryota; Metazoa; Chordata; Mammalia; Rodentia; Muridae
Description: oocyte_clustered_small_RNA5660
Source: RNAcentral
UCUGGUUGGUCCAGAGGGA